GUGACAGUGAUACCCACAUUUAGUGAGGUCAGGGUGGGGUCCUUAUGCAGCCAUCUGCUUCCUGGGCAAUCCCAAUUUCCUUUUUAUUUAAAUGCUUUGUUUUUCUACAACCACAUUAUAGAAAUGAGUUCUUAACAUGCAAUAGCACAUACUGUUUUACAACUCUGCUUAAUUUAAAUGGUGAUUUUGACACAUUUGGUUUGGAUUGGAAGACAUAGCCUGAACCUAAAUUCUGUUUCCUUGACUUAUUUUGAUGAUUCAAACAUGCAGUACAAGGUAUGAAAUGUUUACUGAAAAAUAUCUAGGUUCGUAUAUGUGUUCACUGGGUAGAUUCCAAACAAGAGGAUGAAGAAUGUGAGCAAUGCCUUGUUUUAGAAAAGAAUCAACAAUAUAUGAGUGUAUAUGAACAUGACAAAAGCGCAUAUGCAAUGUGAUCCAUGUAUCUGCAGGACCAGUACACAUGAUUUCAUCUAUCUACAUCUGACAAAAUAUGUAGUCUGUAGGCAUUGUCUAGAUCCCACAGCAUGACUCUUUGGUAUAUAUUAGGCUUGUGCAAACAUUUCAGAAGUUUUGGAAGACGUAUUAAAAUUUAUUAAAUCUGUAUUUCUGAUAUGAUAUUGAUCAUGUGGACAUGUUCUGCACCUAAAACCUAAGAAUCAAAAUGUACCCAAUCCUUUUUUGUUUUAAUUUUGUAAUGCUCAGAAGCCUCCCAAAGUCAGUUUUAUAUUCAUAGCAAGCAGCCAAAAAGGCUCCCAUUCCUCUUUAAAUUAAUGGCCUCUCACCAUUAGGAGAGAAAAAGCAGGGAGAAUGCAGAAUUCGUUGGGAAAGAACUCUGGAAAAUGUAGUUUGGGAAGGCAAGGAACCCUUUGCCAGAAAACUCAAAAUGUCCUGCCCUAAACUACAUUUCCCAGAAUUCAGCUUGCAUCAGAAAGCUCCAAUCAGUAUAAGAGACGAGAUUUGUCCCUCCCUAGCAGUAGCCAGCCACAGUUGCAAUCUGCAAAGAGGAGGACUGGCUGAUACUUCUAAUUCAGAUCAGAAAGCGAACACUGCAAGAUCUAACUAAAUAUGGCUUAAAGGAGAACCAUCUCAUAAAAUAUGAAAAUCCCAGGAAACAAAAACAAAUACUCAUUAGAAAACCAUAUGGUACUUGCUGUUUGUUGGAGGCUUUUUUAAAAGCUUAAUUCUACUUACAAGCUUAUAAUUUGAGGCGACCCGGCACUUCCCAAAUCUGUACUGAUGUUACAUUUGGGAAACUGUUUUUAUUUGUAAAGCUGGAACCCUAAAAUGAUAUUUCUACUUGUAUGUGUUAAUCUAUUGAGCUAGGAGCCUACAAUGUAGAUGAAUAUAUCGAUGAGAGAGGAAAAGUAUAUAGCCCAUUCCAAUAACAUAUUGACAACAUUGUCUUGUCUUAAAUAAGACAAUGUUGCCUGCCCUGGUUUUCAUUGUUUUCUCCGAUUUGGGUUGUAAUAUAUAUACGAUGAUUUUGCACUGUUAUAUUGUGUUAUGAUUUGCUGUUUAUUUUGUUAUAUUGUAUGGUGUCUGGGCAUGGCCCCAUGUAAGCCGCCCCGAGUCCCCAUAGGGGAGAUGGUGGCGGGGUAUAAAUAAAGUUUUAUUAUUAUUAUUAUUAUUAUUAUUAUUAUUAUUAUUAUUAUUAUUAUUAAAUAGAAUAUAUUCUAAAUUAGGAGCUGACUGCUGCUGCAUAAAAGUAACAAACAGGAAAUCUGGCUGCUUCAUUAUAAGUAAACUGACUAAUUGGAAACCAGUACAAAGGACAUCAAUAAUUUCAUAAGCAUUAAAAACUGUCAGACUUUUUUUAUUUCUAAAUACAACACAAUCCAGUUGAAGGUAAGCACCUGUCUGCAUAAACCUUCGCAUGUUUACUCAUAAGUGGCACUUCAGCUGAAGUCUUAAACAUGCCUACAAAUAUGUAAGCUCAAUUGAGUAAGAUCCAAGUAGAAAUUCACUUGAACCGUGGGAAUUUUCCAUUCUCUUUGUAACUCUAUCUGCCCCUAUAACUUCUACAAGUGCUUUCCCGACUAUCUGGACCAGAGUUUCUUUCCGGGCUCUUUUAGAAGGGAGACCAUUCCUUUACACUACAUUGACAGAAGCUGGAAGAUUUAAUUGAGUAUCACUCAAUUAAGUUAAGCACUUUUGUCAUGCCGCUUAAGUGCUUAACCCAGUGAAACUUAUGCACUAGUAAAUUUACACAGGACUACACCUUUUUAACUGCCAUGUGGAUUCAGUGAGAGUUUAAGGCUUCAGCUCUGUGCUUGUUAUGUCCCAGUAAGCUUAGUAAGACUGAUUUAUGACUAGGUCCAUAGAGGACUUCUAAGCACACACCUCGCUCUCACUGAUCUCAGAAGUGUACACAUUAAAACAACAUAUACAUCUGACUGGAUUAUGCCCAUAGUUCAGUGAAAAUAUAGACAUUGAAGGUUAUCCCCAAAUUUAUGCUCACUUUUGUCUCUUGUAAGAUGGGCUUUUUUCCUAGUGGUUUUCAUCUCAGAAGGACCCAAACUGGUAACUGCUCCUCUCAAAUGCCUUUUUGAAC
Anolis carolinensis (green anole) is the source of this 2551-nucleotide long non-coding RNA. Lineage: Eukaryota; Metazoa; Chordata; Lepidosauria; Squamata; Anolidae. The record is from Ensembl.